AGCCAUGCAAGUCCAAGUACACGUCCUUGAACGACGGAAACUGCGAACGGCUCAUUAAAUCAGUUGCGAUCUACUCGGCGUUCCGCGCCGCCGGAUAACCGUAGUAAUUCUAGGGCUAAUACGUGCGAAGCGCCCGAAGCCGCGAGGCGACGGGCGUUCUCGCCGGAUGUAGGAACCGACCCGGGGACCGCCGGGGCAACCCGGCGCCCCGAGACGGGGCGAACCACGGUGAAAUGACGGAUCGUCGGCCCCGCGCCGGCGACUCGCCGAAUGAGUUUCUGACCUAUCAACUCGAGACGGCGGGGUAGAGGCCCGCCGCGGUACGACGGGUAACGGGGAAUCAGGGUUCGAUUCCGGAGAGGGAGGCCCCGAGAAACGGCUACCACUUCCAAGGAAGGCAGCAGGCGCGC
Molecule: ribosomal RNA, 410 nt
Filed under: uncultured eukaryote
Lineage: Eukaryota
Description: bacterial SSU rRNA
Rfam family: Eukaryotic small subunit ribosomal RNA
Source: RNAcentral